CACUCCUACGGGAGGCAGCAGUGGGGAAUAUUGCACAAUGGGCGCAAGCCUGAUGCAGCGACGCCGCGUGGGGGAUGAAGGCCUUCGGGUUGUAAACUCCUUUCGCUAGGGACGAAGCUUUUUUGUGACGGUACCUAGAUAAGAAGCACCGGCUAACUACGUGCCAGCAGCCGCGGUAAUACGUAGGGUGCGAGCGUUGUCCGGAAUUACUGGGCGUAAAGGGCUCGUAGGUGGUUUGUCGCGUCGUCUGUGAAAUUCUGGGGCUUAACUCCGGGCGUGCAGGCGAUACGGGCAUAACUUGAGUGCUGUAGGGGUAACUGGAAUUCCUGGUGUAGCGGUGAAAUGCGCAGAUAUCAGGAGGAACACCGAUGGCGAAGGCAGGUUACUGGGCAGUUACUGACGCUGAGGAGCGAAAGCAUGGGUAGCGAACAGGAUUAGAUACCCCAGUAGUCCCAUGAU
RNAcentral lists this ribosomal RNA (459 nucleotides) under uncultured organism. RNAcentral describes it as "partial 16S ribosomal RNA". It matches the Rfam family "Bacterial small subunit ribosomal RNA", at positions 334 to 801 of the family's 1533-position model. The record is from RNAcentral.